Molecule: ribosomal RNA, 429 nt
Filed under: Chloroflexota bacterium
Lineage: Bacteria; Bacillati; Chloroflexota
Description: Chloroflexi bacterium partial 16S ribosomal RNA
Rfam family: Bacterial small subunit ribosomal RNA
Source: RNAcentral
UGGGGAAUAUUGCACAAUGGGCGCAAGCCUGAUGCAGCCAUGCCGCGUGUAUGAAGAAGGCCUUCGGGUUGUAAAGUACUUUCAGCGGGGAGGAAGGGAGUAAAGUUAAUACCUUUACUCAUUGACGUUACCCGCAGAAGAAGCACCGGCUAACUCCGUGCCAGCAGCCGCGGUAAUACGGAGGGUGCAAGCGUUAAUCGGAAUUACUGGGCGUAAAGCGCACGCAGGCGGUUUGUUAAGUCAGAUGUGAAAUCCCCGGGCUCAACCUGGGAACUGCAUCUGAGACUGGCAAGCUUGAGUCUCGUAGAGGGGGGUAGAAUUCCAGGUGUAGCGGUGAAAUGCGUAGAGAUCUGGAGGAAUACCGGUGGCGAAGGCGGCCCCCUGGACGAAGACUGACGCUCAGGUGCGAAAGCGUGGGGAGCAAACAGG